Long non-coding RNA from Pogona vitticeps (central bearded dragon), 1973 nucleotides. NCBI's taxonomy places the organism in Eukaryota, Metazoa, Chordata, Lepidosauria, Squamata, Agamidae. The record is from Ensembl.
AUGAAUGUAAUGGGGUGUUUGUGACUCAAUCCAAAACUCUAAUAGCUACACCAGAUUUCCAGAUGGAUCACUUGAGCAAAACAUCAUGGCAUUGUUGUCUCACAGUGUCACACAGCAACAAUUAUUCUUGAGCCAAUUCAGAGUAAGGGCAAUGGCUGCUCUCAGUCUGAACACCCAGUUUCACUCCUCUUUAUAGGCCUUGUGAAAAAUCAUCCAGUAGGAAAGUUGCUCUUAAGCUGCAGAAUGUUUCAGGAAAAAUACUGCAUUUUGGGGCAUGCCUACACUAGAUAAUUUGUCACUCAGCCCAUGUAGUGCACAAGUAUCUAAAAGACCAGAGAUAGCACUAUAUAUUUGGUCUAGGAUGGUGGAGUUGCUUAAGGAAGAAAUACAAAAGUCUGAGUAGCUGAGGAGGGUAGAACUGGAGCACACAAAGUCCUGGACAGUUCCUGGUCAAUUCAUUUAGACCUGCAUGAGGGACCGUCUUGCUAGAUUGUGCCCCUAUUAGUCAAGAAAGUGUAAACACUUCAGCAUCUGCUAAUGAAAUUGCUUAUUUUGAAAGUGACCAGUUUAAUAGUAUAGUCGCUGUUUUUGUGCGGUUAAUAUUUAUCUGGUAGCUCACAGAGUUUUCACUUGUUGGCAGUGAUGUCAAAACAGCAGUGUGAGCCCAACCAUUUUCCAAAGAUAAAUGUCAUCAUAGCAUUAAGACCACUCAAGCAACAUAGUGAUUAAAUUCUCCCCUACUGCCCCUAGCUGAUUCCCUCCACACCAUCUUUAUUUCUUCUGUUCCCCUCCUUUCAGUGUUACAGAGAAGUGUUUUCCAGCCAGAAGCUAAGAACCCAUGUUGGUAACCUGCAUUGCUGCAUCUGGAAGACCGCCGAGCGAUGGUCUGUUCUUACUCAGACAGCAUCUGUAUUGUACAGACAGGAUCCUACAUCUCCUGGCCUCUGUUCCGUGUUAUUUGCAUCGAGUCUCCAGCAUGAAUCAGUUCACUGCGGCAGCCGACGGGUCGAUGUGACUUGCAUUCUUAGCAGUGAGAUCAAGUUUGCCAAGAUGCGUAUUUGGCAAAACUGCUUUCUCUUGUUCUUCUCUCAUGAGAGAGAGAUGGGGAAAAGACAGAGAUCUGAAGAACACCCACAACAGAUUCUGGAGCAGCAGCUUGGACCUGGAAUUGCAACCUGCAUGGCAAAUAGGCAGGCAUGUGCAGUAGGAGGUCUCAUGUCCAGUCACACCUUUCUCCUUGAAAAUCAGGUGACAUUAGGCAUGAGAACAGAGAACCCAUAGAGCAGUCCACUCAGUUCUGUGUGCUGUGCCUUUUCAGGCUUAUAGCCUAUUCUUUCUAGAGCACAUGUAAGAUAGGUUGCUGCCUGAGGCCAAUUAUGACUGAGGCCAAUCCUCCAUUCCAUAUAGAGAACUGAACUGGCAGCUGAAUCUUACUUCUAUACUAGUGAUGCAGGACAGUGACCUCUGCUGCACCCAAGGGAAAUAGAGUGAGCCAUCAUAGAUAACUUUAAUAAGAACCCUUCAGAGACAGAUCUUUCCCCUUUCAAGAGAAAUCUGCACAAGAGGAUGUGGCUCAGUGCAGAAUCACCACCUUCUGUAGCAAGACUAACUCCGCUAUUCUCAAAAUGAUAUACAUCUAUGCACCUUCCUCUCUCUCCAAGUGCUGAUUCAAAUAUAAAUUCUUGGUUUGUUUAUUUUUUUCUGGACAAUCAGGAAAAUAUCUCCAACCUCAGCCAGAUCACUGAACACCAGAUGCUAGUUUUGAACACAGAUAACAUUUCUGGGAAGAAUCAUGUUUGUGUAUCAUAUGUUAAUACUUUUGCUUAUCAACCCAAAUUCUCUGACUGUCUUUUCUUAAACUUUUUUUUUAAAAAAUAAGCUUUCAACAUGAACCAGCCUUUUAAUUAACUUAUUUAAAUUUUUCCUGCUCUAUAGGCUAGUUAACAUUUAAGGAGAUGACAUUUUCAAGACCU